GACGAACGCUGGCGGCGUGCUUAACACAUGCAAGUCGAACGAAGUGGCGAACGGGUGAGUAAUACGUGGGUAACCUGCCCUGCACUUCGGGAUAAGCCUGGGAAACUGGGUCUAAUACCGGAUAGUGUGGGAUGGGCCCGCGGCCUAUCAGCUUGUGGGUGGGGUAAUGGACUAGCACGGCGGCGACGGGUAGCCGGCCUGAGAGGGUGGACGGCAACAUUGGGACUGGGACACGGACCAGACUCCUACUGGAGGCAGCAGUGGGGAAUAGUGCACAAUGGGCGGAAGCCUGAUGCAGCGACGCCGCGUGGGGGAUGACGGCCGUCGGGUUGUAAACUCCUUUCACCAUCUACGCGGUAGAUGUAGAAGAAGCACCGGCUAACUACGUGCCAGCAGCCGCGGUAAUAU
This 408-nucleotide ribosomal RNA is filed under the name uncultured bacterium. RNAcentral's name for it is "partial 16S ribosomal RNA". It matches the Rfam family "Bacterial small subunit ribosomal RNA", at positions 28 to 526 of the family's 1533-position model. The record is from RNAcentral.